RNAcentral lists this transfer RNA (71 nucleotides) under Carnegiella strigata (marbled hatchetfish). RNAcentral's name for it is "tRNA-Asp". It matches the Rfam family "tRNA". From Rfam's summary of the family: Transfer RNA (tRNA) molecules are approximately 80 nucleotides in length. The record is from RNAcentral. Lineage: Eukaryota; Metazoa; Chordata; Actinopteri; Characiformes; Gasteropelecidae.
AAAAUAUUAGUAAAAUGUAAUUACAUUGCUUUGUCAAGGCAAAAUUGUGAGUUAGAAUCUCACAUACUUUA